Molecule: long non-coding RNA, 762 nt
Filed under: Brassica napus (rape)
Lineage: Eukaryota; Viridiplantae; Streptophyta; Magnoliopsida; Brassicales; Brassicaceae
Description: long non-coding RNA (BNAP_LNC005106)
Source: RNAcentral
UGGUUUAGUAAUUAGUGAUUAGGGUUUAGUAUUUAGAGUAAUAAGGGUGAGUUUGAGGCCAUUAUUAGAUUUUGAGAUUUGGGUUUAGAGUUUAGGGUUUAUGGUUUAUAUUUGGGUUUAAGGUUUAUACUUGGGUUUAGGGUUUAGUGAUUAGGAUUUAGGGUUUAGUAUUUAGAAAGGGCGGGGUUGGGAUUUGGGUUUAGUGAACAUGUAUCGUUUCAUUUGACGAUUAAUAAAGAAUGUUUUAUUUUGUUCACUAAUAUGUACUAUACUAUUUAUUUUAUUUCGUUCUAUUUGGGUUAGAGGCUAUACUUGGGAUUAGGGUUUAGUGAUUAGAGUUUAAAGUUUAGUAUUUGGAAGGUGUGGAGUUAAGGUUUGAGUUUAGUGAUAGCAGUUUAGGGUUUAAUAUUCAAAAUGUGCCUUCAAGUGUCCAAUAUUGGAAAACAAUUUAUAGAUUGUAUUUGAGUUUAUAGGUUCCUGCCUAGGGUUUAGAUUUACUAAGUAGAGGUUUGGGUAUAGUAAACCGUAUUAUAUACUAUUUGGGUUUAUGCUUUCUUAAUUAGGGUUUAGCUUUAAUAAUUAAUGGUGUGUCUUGUAUUGUUGUAUUUUUGCGGGUGGAGAGGAUUUACUAUUUGCAUUCCAUACUAUGGAUACACCACUGGAAUUUUUUGAUUAUUUGAAACAUUCGUAUACUAUACUACUAUGACUAUAUGGAAUAGAAGAUAUGUAACAUGCUAACCAAGUAAAUGUGCCUUCAAGUAA